RNAcentral lists this long non-coding RNA (1162 nucleotides) under Equus asinus (donkey). RNAcentral describes it as "lncRNA (ENSEASG00005025451.1)". Lineage: Eukaryota; Metazoa; Chordata; Mammalia; Perissodactyla; Equidae. The record is from RNAcentral.
CCAUCAUUCCCGGGCUUGGUCUGUGGGUGCAGCAGCGAUGCCUCUUGGGGCUAAACUCAGAGGCUCCAGGGCAAAGUCUGAGCUGGGACCUGAAACUGGUGAGGCCCAGGGCAUGUGCGUGAAGACCCACCCAGCUAAUUCAGUCGUGUUCAUGAACGUCAUUAGCAGAGCAGAGCUUUAGUUUGUCCGGCGUUGGAUCUGAAAACACACAGCCCCACACAGGUGUCCACACAAGGCUGGUGCCGCGUGAGCAGGACAUCCACAGCCGUCCUGGUGCCCAGAGACACUGGGCUCCUCGGUGCUGGGUUCUUCUUUGACACAACAGUACAUGGUGUACGAAGGGGAUGCCGGUCUUAACCAAGAUGGUCGAUGAAGUGUUUCCUUUACAGGAAACCACCAGCCACGGACUCAGAAAGGAAUCACGGUCAGCCCUAGGGAAUGGUCACCAGGUUUCCAUCCGUAAUUCAGAAACCAUCAAGAUGUCCAGACCCUGAGACAGAGGUUUUGGGGUGUUCCCACGUGAAAGCCAGAGGAUCAUCUUAGGACAAUUCACUCUAAUCACUGGAACCCAAGAAUAACUUCAACGAAUGCUUUGAAGAUGCAAUCCUGACCUGCAAACCAGCUCUUCUCUUUCGGGCUUAAAGGUGCUCAUCUAUGAUAUUAAAGGCUACAUGUAUUUCUCCAGCAUAAAUCUGUAGUGUCACCAACCCAGAAAGGUUGGGAAGAAGAAGCAGUUAGAUAUGCACGUGAUGUUGUAGGGCUGAUGGUGGGCCAUGUCCCAUCCGGAAUCCCCAAAUGAUCCAUAAAUUAUUACACGAGAGUGAAUUAUUAUUUUUUUUCAAAGAUUGGCCCUGAGCUAACAUCUGUUGCCAAUCUUUUUUUUUUCUUCUUCUCCUCAAAGCCCCCCAGUACAUAGUUGUAUAUUCUAGUUUUAGGUCCUUCUGACUCUUCUGUGUGGCACACCGCCUCAGCGUGUCUUGAUGAGCAGUGUUAGGUCCAUGCCCAGGAUCUGAACCGGUGAAACCCCUGGGCCACUGAAGUGGAGCGUGUGAACUUAAUGAUUUGGCCACGGGGCCAGCCCCAGAGAGUGAACUGUUUUUUCUGUUUUCAGCCAGACUCUUGUCCCAGUGCUGACUCUCCGAGCACGUUGCGUGGAAGUGAU